This 827-nucleotide long non-coding RNA is filed under the name Musa acuminata (dwarf banana). RNAcentral's name for it is "long non-coding RNA (MACU_LNC008892)". The record is from RNAcentral. Lineage: Eukaryota; Viridiplantae; Streptophyta; Magnoliopsida; Zingiberales; Musaceae.
UGUUAAAACUACCCUCUUAUACUCUGGUGUGUGGGAUUGUCUGGACCUUUGCCAGAAAUGGUAAAGGGUAUGUGCUUAUUGCCCGCUCUGUGGGAUAUUCUGGACCUUUGCCAGAAAUGGUAAAGGGUAUGUGCUUAGAGCCUGCGAUGCUCUGUCGGCCCCCUCUGACUUCACCUAGACGUGGGUGGAUGGAGAUCCCAGACGUGGGUGGAUGGACCUCCCAGACGUGGGAGACUUUUGUCAGGUGGUCAUUCAGAAAUUGAUGAAUCACAUUCUGACUGAGAUCCCACUACACCUUCUAUAUGUUUGUUAUGACAUCCAGAGUUUUGGUGAGUUGUUUCUGUUCAUGCUCUGGAUAAGAAUGAUAUGAUUGCAACGUCAAGGACGAUGUUUGAGCUUCUGUACGAUAUUUAUUUUUGAUAUGCUCUGAAAUGCUUCAUUCACUGAUGAUUUUGUUUCAAAAUGUUCCAUAUGCCGUUGAUAUGCUUCGGAACAUUUUAUAUGCCAUUGAUAAGCUCCGAUAUGUUUCCUUUGUUACUGAUAUGCUCCAAUUACUCUAUGCCCCAUAUGUCAGGAACCAAAUAUGUAAGAUUGAAAGGACAAUUGUGUUUCUGCUCCUAAUGAUAUUAUGUCCACGAAAUCGUAUAUUCUGCCUUGUAUUUUGAAACUGUAUCUCUUUGGAAAUUGUCCUGUUUUGAUAUGGAUAUGUUAGUCACUUGCUGAGCUCUAUAUGCUCACCCUGUUUGUUGAUAAAUUUUUCAGGAUAGCGUAUCGCUUGCUUAAAUGUUAAGAUUGGACUGAGGUAGUGGAAAGUUAGAAGAUUUUGG